CCUACGGGUGGCAGCAGUGGGGGAUAUUGCACAAUGGGGGAAACCCUGAUGCAGCGACGCCGCGUGAGUGAAGAAGUAAUUCGUUACGUAAAGCUCUAUCAGCAGGGAAGAAACACUGACCUUACGGUCAGCAGACGGUACCUGAGUAAGAAGCCCCGGCUAACUACGUGCCAGCAGCCGCGGUAAUACGUAGGGGGCAAGCGUUAUCCGGAUUUACUGGGUGUAAAGGGAGCGUAGACGGUGCGCCAAGUCUGUAGUGAAAUGCCGCAGCUUAACUGCGGAACUGCUUUUGAAACUGGCGAACUAGAGUGCGGGAGGGGUAAGCGGAAUUCCUAGUGUAGCGGUGAAAUGCGUAGAUAUUAGGAGGAACACCGGUGGCGAAGGCGGCUUACUGGACCGUAACUGACGUUGAGGCUCGAAAGCGUGGGGAGCAAACAGGAUUAGAUACCCGAGUAGUC
RNAcentral lists this ribosomal RNA (458 nucleotides) under uncultured bacterium. RNAcentral's name for it is "partial 16S ribosomal RNA". It matches the Rfam family "Bacterial small subunit ribosomal RNA", at positions 338 to 795 of the family's 1533-position model. The record is from RNAcentral.